UCUCAUCGAAGAUUACGUCACGAGAGC
Molecule: small RNA, 27 nt
Filed under: Bombyx mori (domestic silkworm)
Lineage: Eukaryota; Metazoa; Arthropoda; Insecta; Lepidoptera; Bombycidae
Description: ovarian small RNA-29602
Source: RNAcentral